This 686-nucleotide long non-coding RNA is filed under the name Phascolarctos cinereus (koala). RNAcentral describes it as "lncRNA (ENSPCIG00000028438.2)". The record is from RNAcentral. Lineage: Eukaryota; Metazoa; Chordata; Mammalia; Diprotodontia; Phascolarctidae.
CAGUCAUAUCUUUACAUCUUGUCUGAAGGACAAGCAUAAGAGACUUAAUCAAGUGCUUUGCUGAAAUCUAGGUGUGCUGUGUCUAAAUUGUGCUAUCAUGGGUGACCAUUCAUUCAUGGAUGAUAAUGAACUUGAACCAGCAGUAAGUUUAAAUUAGGUUCAAUAUCUGUAACAUUUGAAAUAGGCUUCCAUUGGAAAUACUUAAUUAAAAAAAGUUUCAGUGCUUGAAAGGGUAGGCUUUAGUUAUCUGUAAAAUUUACUGGGGUCAAAUAUUUUAUUUCAUGUGAUAACUUGUUCCUGUAAUACUACUCUUUUUUCUGUUCCCCAAACCCAAGUUGGAGGUCACUACUCUUUAUUCUCUGCAACAAGAUCAUAGAAGCCACAGAAUUUUAGAUGCAGAAAGGAGCUAACCCUUGGAACACUGAGAGCCCUUGCAUGAACCACAGAAAAUAAAAGGCAUAAUUUGUCAGACAUUAAAAUAACAAAAGGGCUUUGAGAAAGGAUUAUGGUUCUGAAGUCCCACCACUAGAAUGAAUUUACUCUCUUACUGGUGCUGUAAUCUGGAAUUCUAAGAGCCAGCAGGGAAGAAAUACAUGUUGUAAUUACCUUAAACAAGCGGGCAAUGAUGAUUGCUUCUCAAGCUGCAUGUUUGAGGACAUGAUGAAAGGUGGGAAGAAGACAUAGCC